Long non-coding RNA from Heterocephalus glaber (naked mole-rat), 644 nucleotides. RefSeq lists it as uncharacterized. The record is from RefSeq and is a predicted model, not a curated record. NCBI's taxonomy places the organism in Eukaryota, Metazoa, Chordata, Mammalia, Rodentia, Bathyergidae.
CAGCGAGGCCCGGCGGGGGCGGCGAGCGCGCUUCCCCCCGCCCGCUCGGGCGGCGCAGAGGCGCGAGCAGCUCAGCCAGCCUUGCAGAGGGAGCUCUCGGCAACUCUGGGGUCCCUCUGCUCGCAGCCGCAGCAGCGCCGCCUGCGCCACUCGGCGGAGACGGAGACCAGCGGCGGCGACGCGCGGACUAGGAGCAACCGCCGAGUAGCUGAGUGGCUGGGGACGCACACAGGGCGGCCGGGAAAUCCUGAUGUGUCCUCCUUUGUGGAAUCAACUCCCAAGAUCAAGAAAUGGAAAGCCAAAAAAAGAAAGAAAUGGAAAGCCAAACCAAAAAGAUAGGAUAUUUCAGGCUGGAAAGAAAUAUGUGGAAGCUGGAUGUGGCGGUGCACCCCUGUAAUCCCAGCAUUUUGGGAGGAAUCCUGUGAAAGCCAUAUUUGUCUUUGAUCUCAGCUCAAGUGACUCCUCUCUGAAGUUUGAAAGACUUCACCUAGCCCUACAUCCCAUGCUUGAGAACUUUGAGUACAUGAGGAAGAAGAGUGGGAAACGAGGAAAAAUAAGGUUGGAAGAGGGCAGGAGGAAAGGAGGGGCGUAAAGGCAGGCUUCACCUACAACCAACACAAUAAAUUCUAUCCUACAUCAACUCA